GAUGAACGCUGGCGGCGUGCCUAAUACAUGCAAGUCGAGCGAACAGACGAGGAUCUUGCUCCUCUGACGUUAGCGGCGGACGGGUGAGUAACACGUGUAUAACCCACCUAUAUUACUGGGAUAACUUCGGAAAACCGGAUCAAAUAGCGGAUAAUAUAUUGAACCACGUGGUGCAAUAGUGAAAUACGGUUGUGGUGUCACUUAUAGAUGGAUCCCCGCCUCAUUAGAUAGUUGGUAAGGUAACGGCUUAACAAGGAAACGAUGCGUAGCCGACGUGAGAGGCGGAUCGGCCACACUGGAACUGGAACACGGUCCAGAGUCCUACGGGAGGCAGCAGUAGCGUAGCUUCCGCAGUAGGCGAAAGUCUGACGCAGCAGCGUCGAGUGAGUUGUAGAGGUCUCCGGUUCGUAAAACUCUCUUAUUAGGGAAGAACAACUGUGUACGUAAAUAUGCACGUAUUGACGGUACUUAGUAAGAAAGCAACGGCUAACUACGUG
This 497-nucleotide ribosomal RNA is filed under the name uncultured bacterium. RNAcentral's name for it is "partial 16S ribosomal RNA". It matches the Rfam family "Bacterial small subunit ribosomal RNA", at positions 28 to 507 of the family's 1533-position model. The record is from RNAcentral.